CCUGCCUCAGCCUCCCGAGUAGCUAGGAUUACAGGCAUGCACACCACGCCCGGCUAAUUUUGUAUUUUUAGUAGAGAUGGGGUUUCACCAUGUUGGCCAGGCUGGUCUCAAACUCCUGACCUCAGGUGAUCCACCCGCCUCGGCCUCCCAAAGUGCUGGGAUUACAGGAGUGAGCCACUGCACCCCGCCUGUUGUGAAUAGUCUUAAGGGGAGGCGUAGUGGGAUGUAAUGGGCUGGAGUCCUAGGCCACCACUUUUUAGCCAUGUGACCUUUGAGAUGAACUAUUAAACUUCAUCCCAGAAUCUUUCUAAAUUCUCCAAAGUUAAAGAUGAGAUUUAAUAGCUCAUCUAUUAAAGAUUUCUGGGAUGGCAUUCUUAAAAUUAAGAUUAGCUUCUGUUAAGGAAUUAGAAAACACCAGAGGUAGGGAAUGGUCCCUGUCACAUAUAGACAGCAUUUGCCCUAAACCAUGCUCUGGUCAAGAGGAGGCUGAGGACUUCUGAGCCAUUUGCCUCUCAUCAGAACGUCCUGGGUGUAGUGUCAGAGAGUGGCUGUAUUGGCUUGUCUGAACAGCUAGUGUGUUGCUUUGGUUUGAGCUGAAAGAUUGUUCUAACAAAGGUGCAUGGUGACUAUGGUCAGCAUAGGCGUUAGGAGAGGAGGGGCCGUCUGUGCACACUGUCCUGGGUGUGCCCAUCCUCAGGAGCUCAGCUGUGUAGUGUGUGGCAGCCUGUCCCCCUGACUCCCGCCGGUGAGGUUCACAGAUGGUCAGAGCUCCCAGGUGCGGCUCUAAAGCUCUGGCUCUGCUGCCGUGGCCCCAGGCAACCUGGCUGGCUCAUGGGCUUCAGCUUCUCACAUGUGGAAGAGCACAGAUCAUCCUUCACCCCAGUAUCCCGGUAGCUGACCUCAGACUUUCUGAGUGUGAGUUGACUUGAGUAGCCCUGAGAUGCUGACGUCCUCUGAGUACAUCAACAACAGGGAGUUUCUGGGCUGCAGGCUGAGAACCCGUGUUUGUCACAAGGCGGCCCCACAGAGUUACCACCACUCUAAGGCCCUGCCAGAGCCAGCAACAGAUUAUUCCAGAAGGCACCUGUCUCCCAAUCACCUUCUCUAUCUGGAACAACACCUCCCUCAGGGUUGGGUAAAGUAUUAAAUAUCUGUGCCUUGCAUACACUCACUCAGUGCUCAACAAAUGCUGGUUCUUUCCCAGUUUCUGUAAUCUGUAUGACCUAUCUUGACCAAGAGAUUGUCAUCAUCCUGAGGCCCGGGGCCCAGGCUGCUGUUGCGCUGGCCUCUCUCCCUCACUCUCCAGUAAGCCCUGUCCCAGGCUGGCCUCUCCCUCCGGGGCUGUCUUAUCCACGCUUGGGCUCCAACCACCUUGACCCUUCUCCACCUGUCAGUCACGCCCCAGGUGUUCCCUGAGUCACGCAACAGCUAUAUAGUAGCUCCGCAGACCAACAGCAGGCCGACAGCGUAGCACCUGAGUUCUAGAUCUACCACUGUUCAUGCGGGACCUGGCAUAAAGCAUUCCCACGUCUCGGCCUCCAUUUCCCCAUCUGUGAAACGAGAGCACUGGUCAGCUCUUCACAUGCAGCGUUUGUGGGAUGAAUCCUUCCAUCUGUCCAUCCAUCCCGCCAACAUCCAUGCACAAACAUUUAGCACCUGCUGCAUGCUGUCAGGGACUAUGGCAGGAAAAGAGUUGAAACAGACACGUCCCAGGCCUCCAGCCCCUCACACCACGGAGAGGAAACAGAUGCCCGCAAAGGAGGAGGCACCCCUCAGGGGGCCAGCGCUGCGACACGGUGGAGGCAGGGAGGCCGUCUCUAAGCAGCCUGCGAGUCCCCGCGCUGCACCGUGGCUUUGAGGAGUGGCGGGGGCCGAGGGGCCGGUCUCUCUUCCGGGGGAGAUUCCUCCCCUCACCCCGGCAUUACUCAGCGCCCUGAACUGUCUGCCUCCCUCCAGCCGGCCCUCCUCGUCUUCCUGGAGCGCAGCACAAAGGUCCUGUUGUGGCCGCGGCCCGGGCCGCGGGCGAGCCUCUCUGGAUGGUGGUGACUCAGUCUCUUGCCAUUUCCUUUGUGCGGCUCCGGGGCUCCUCGCUGGGAGCGGAGUGUGUCUGCAGGGCUGGGGGCGGGAGCCGGGACCCACAGCCCGACAGCGAGCCUUUCAUGUGGGCAGGGGGCUUCCCGCACGCAAUGCGAACCUACGCCUGGAGCUUCCCAAAGACAGCGUCCGGCGCAGGAACGCGAGAUGCUGGCCGCCUCGCCUCUGGCCCCCGCGAGCAUCAAAGCGCGUGCCGUCGAGGGGGCACGUGUCCCCCAUCGGGCGCGCCUCUGCUCCUAGUCCCCUGAAUGAACACAUCCUUAUGAAAAGUGGAAAUUAGCCGCCGAAGGGAAGGGCCCGGAGAGCUUGGGAAGCGACCUAGGCUGCCAGCCUCCCGGCGGGUCUUUGGUCCCAGCUCUGAUGACCUGUCAGCAGCCGCAGGACCUGCGCUUAAAGGCGCCUCUCCAGGCCUGGCUCAGGGUGGGGCUCCUCGUGCUCAGCACCCUGGUCAAGGUUAGGGCUGGGUGUGCGCUGGAGGCUUGGAGUGCCAGGGCACCCAGUGAAGAGCGAAUGAAUGAACGAGUGAACACCGGACUGGGGGCCUGCAGACGGUUCUUCGCAGGUUAAUUAGAAGGCCUCUAGCAAGCUGCAGCGGAGGCAUUUCAGGCAUCCUUCAGAGAGGACCCUCGGCCUGGCUCCUAAGGGCCCCUGGUCUGGCUCUCACCCCCUGCUCUGGUGGCAUUUCUGCUCACUCAGCCUUUACCCUUUACACGCCAGCCGCUCUGAACAGUUUAUUCUUCUGGGAGCACAUCAUGUUCUUGCUCACAUCCAGGUUUUGCGUAAGCUGUUCCUGCUGCAAGGAAAACCCUUCCUGUGUCCUCCUCAGGCAACUCCUGUGCAUCUGUAGGUACCAUUGUGAGGUUACUGCCCUGGACUGGGGAGAGAUCCACACACGCAAGAGUGCAUCUGGCAUCAGUAUGUAAGAGUCAAAACUGACACACAGUUCUUCAUCUCAUGGAAAUGAAAACAUGCAUGGCCGGAAUGAUCUUAUACCUGCUUCUCUUGGGCCAGGUCACCAGGCUGGCCCUGAGAAGUAUGUGAUGGCAUGGAGAAGAAUCCUCACACAUCCUUGCAGUUCUCUAGGAUUUGCAAGGCAUUCCCCCCAUUGCUGGACUCACUGGAUUUGAGUAGGCCUGUCUGCCCCUAUUUUAGAGAUGAGCAUAUACACCUUACAAAAACUGAGUCUUGCUCAAUGUCUGGCAAAGAAGUCUUCCUUUAUCCAACAAUCCUGAGAGUCUAGCGGGUGUUGGGCACCAUAAAGAUGAAUGAGGUGCGGUUCUUGCCACCAGGCAGUGCCCGGGCUUGUCAGGGAGACCCAUGUGGAGCAUGACAAUUGCUACCUUCUUGAUACGGGCAAAAGGAUGUUGAGUCCAGUGGAAGGAGAGGCUUGUCUGGCUGUGAGAUCAGCAAAGUCUUCACAGAAAAGGAGAAUUUUAAAUGGGGCCUUGAAGGGGAAGUGUCUCCUGGAGAUGGAGAGAACAUAGCGAGGAGAGUGCGGUGAGGUGGGGGGUGGCAGGGGAAGCACAUCACUACGCGGUGCUUAGGGCCGAGUCUGAGCCAACCUGGGAGUGGCACUCAGCUCCCCCAGGCCCCCGAGAUGCAUGUUCAGCAGCAUCCAGCGGCCUCCUGUGAAGCGACUGGGAGUCCACAGAGACAACAAAAGCAGAUGUAGUGAUGUGUAAACUUGAAGUUUCUAGAAGUUCCUUUGGGCCCCACCAAAUCUCUGUGGCAAUGAACCAAUCCCACAUGUUCCUGUGGGUAAUGCUCCCAGAGGGCAUGUGACUUUGGGCAUCAUUAUUGGCUGAAAAAGGAAACUGGGGUAGUAGUUAGAGAGUGCUAUGAACUGAAUGUUGUGUGCCUCCCAAAUCUGUACACUGAACUCCAAAUCCCACUGUGGUGGUAUUAGGUGAGGGGGCCUUGGGAGGUCAUUAGGUCCUGAGGGUAAAUCCCUCAUGAAUGGGAUGAGUGCCCUCACACAUGAGACCCCAGAGAGCUCUCUGGCGGUCUUUCUACCAUGUAUGGCUGCAAUGAGAGGUCUGCAGCCUGCACCUGGAAGGAGGCCCUCAAUGAACCUGACCAGACUAGCAUCCUGUUCUCAGACUUCUGGCCUCCCAAACUGUGAGAAACAAGUUUCUGUUGUGUAUAAACCAUCCAAUCUAUGAUAGUUUGUUAUAGUAGCCAAACCGACUAGGACAGAGAGGAUGUAAGGAGCCAGUGGAGGACUCUUUUAAUGGAGAGACUACAGCAUGUCUCAGGCUGAAUGGUCCAGUAGGGAGAGCAAAAACAGUGCCCAUGCAUCACCCUGAGGUCUCACCCAACCCUGCUGGAACUGACUUUAGUGCCCUCUUCCAGUGUUCCCCGCAUGACCUGGUGGGUGCACACCUGGCUGCUUGCAUUCACACCGUCCCUCUCCACUUCUUCCUUCUCCCCAGCUCUCUUCCUGUCAACCCUGGCAUUGCCUUUGUUGGCUACUGAGAGAAGACCAGAAAUAUCCAUCUAGUCAGACUUGCCUGCUCCUGGGAAGAAAACAAAAAUGCAAAGAAAAGGUUCUCAGGGAGAUUGAGCCAACCUGGGAGUGGCCCUCAGCUCCUCCAGUCCCCAGAGACCCAUGCUCUGCAGCAUCCAAGGGGCUCCUGUGAAACUGUUGGGAGGCCAAUGACACUCUGUCCCACGUUGUGGAUCUAUUUUGUGGUCUCUGUAUCCUUCACUGCUUUUUGUGGACAUUAUUGUAUUAGAUUCCUUUGGAAAUGAUGAUCCAGCUAAUGGCCAGUUAGUAGGAAACAUCACGACCCUCCCCCCAAAUUCCAGCCUCUUGCUGAAAGGGUGGGGCCUGGGAAAUCAUAUGGUAUUGCUCCUGGUCACCACAGACCAGUGGUGGCUUUGGGCCAAAUUCUGGCCCAGCCAAUCCCCCCCACCUUUUUUUUUUUUUGAGAGAGAGAAUUUGAGGUAAGAGACACAGAGACUCAGGUUAGGAGGAUGCUUGAACUGAAAGGUCCUGAGACAGCAGGACAGGAGCUAGUACCAUGCAGAACACAGCAGGAGCCACAGGCAAGCCUGAACUGUGGGAGAGAGAAAACGAAGGGCCUUCCAGAGAGGUCCAGUCUGCCAAGAGGAGAAGAGAGUUGACACGCAGAAAGAGUUAGGGGUGACAAGAACCCCCGUAGCCCCUUGAAGGACACAGAGAGGAGAUCUUUUUUGUUCUUUUGUGAUUCAUCCUUUCUCACUUCCUGUCCUUGGAGGUCAACAACAGACCCCUGUAUCCUUUUAAUAAUCCCUCUUUUCAUUUGAAAUUGUUCCAGAGGGUACCUGAUCCUUGUUGCCAGCAUGCCCUGAAUAAGAAAAAUGCUCAAACCAAACACUGAGUCUACUGAGUCUAUGUGAAUUAAUUCUUGGAAUUCCUUGGCUCAAUUCAAUAAACAUUUCAUGCACAAUUUUUGUGUGCCAGGUGCUAGAGGCAUUCUGAGAAAAACUGAGACCCAGGAGCUGUCCUCAGAGAGUCCAGUAAGAUGUGGUCUGAUAAGACAUGUUUCCAUAUACCCAGAAUACAAGGUAGUUUGCUAGGAGCACUGCAAGAGAAACGCAGAUGGAAGGCUGGAGUGUGUACUGCCACUGUGGAAGCAGGAGGGGCUUGAGGGAAGAGGGCCUUCAAGAAUGGGUGGAAUCUAAUAUUGGAAAGGGGAGGAAGAGUGGAAAGUAUAAGAAUCAGAAGUCUGGUUGCAGGAUGGGGCAUGAUAUGGGUGGGACACUGUAAACUGCACAGCGUGGAAGGAAUAUGGAGUUUAGAGGAAUAAUGUUAGAUGAGUCUGUAAGACGGGCUUGACUGGGAUUAUGAAGGGCCUUAAAGGUCAAGCCAAAUUUGUUAUCAUAGAAUCAUAAGAAGGAGAAGAGCCUUAGCUGUUGUCUAGUCUAACUUAGGUAAUUUGGUUCCAGUUCCUCUUAAGGUGGCCACCAUGACAGACUGAAUCUCAAGUACUCAUCUGAGAUACAGUCAUUUCAAUGGUAGUGACUCAGAAUUUACUUUUCUUUUUUUUUACCCCAGCAAAAUAUUUAUUUUAGAAAAUAGGAUUAUAUUAUUUGUUGCUCUCCAACUUGCUUUUUUUGGACAUCUUGGACAUCUUUCUCUACCAGUACAUAUAGUUCCAUUUCCUUCUUUUUAUUUUAUUUACUUUAUUAUUUUUGUAGAGAUGAGGUCUUGCCAUGUUGCCUAGGCUGGUCUGGAACUCCUGGGCUCAAGAGAUCCACUCACCUUGGCCUCCCAAAGUGCUAGGAUUACAGGCGUGAGCCACUGCAGAUAUUUUUAUUUUUUAUUUUCAUUUAUUUCAAUAGUUUUUGGGGAGCACGUGGUUAUUUGAUUACAUGGAUAAGUUCUUUAGUGGUGAUUACCGAGAUUUUGGUGCACCCAUCACCCAAGCAGUGUACACUGUACCCAAUGAGUAGUCUUUUAUCCCUCGUCCUCCUUCCCCGCUCCCCUCACGUCCCCAAAGUACAUUGUAUCUUAUGCCUUUGCAUCCUCAUGAGAUUACUUUUCUAUCUUUAACAACUUAAGAGUUCUUUCCAGAAGAGUCCUCUUACUACGAGGAAGAGUGUUAGAGCACAGGGAACUGGGCCUAGAGAGUCUGCAGCAAAUUGUCUCAAAUAGCAGCUUAAAAAGGUAAGGAACAGAAAAGAAACACUCUCUAUCUAUGUGCUGGCCUCAGGCACAGUGCUUCUAGAUGGUAGAACAUCUGUGAAGUAGAAAUUACAAUCACUUUUCAGGUGAGAAAACAGGAGCUGUAGGGAGGAGUCGGACAGGUCCCCAGGCCCAGCAACUAUACCAGGUGAGGCAGGAAUGUGGCCUCGUGUUGACCAGAUUCCACAGCCACGGGCUUCCAUCCCUCUUCUCUGCUUGCUUUAAGACUAACCACCCUGGCUUCAAGUAAGUAUCACUCACAAAGGAAUUUCAAAAAGACAUGCACAUAAAUUAAUGGCUGAUGGCUGUAGGUGGUCGUAUGGGAGGAACCGAUUAUAACAUUGUAUGAACUUAGCAAAGCUCUAAACCAUAGCACAGACAUUUGGCAAAAUGGUUACUCUUUUUCAAUCAUCCAAGGACUCAGUUUAUAAUAAGCCUUGAGCGAGUCCCUAAAUUCCAAAGCCCUUAGCAUCUUCCAGGACCCUCUUGAGACCACACAGUGCUUCCAGCUUCCGGAAACAGCAGAUGCUAUUGCUUCCAUGAGCAAUGUCAGCAUUUAAUACACAAGGGGGAACAGAGAAAGAAACCUAUAUGGAUGGGGAGCAGGGAGGAGGGGCAGCACUGGAUCCUCUCCUGGGCCCUGUCCAGCUCGACAUUCCUGAACAGAGCGUGCUGUUCCCUCUCCUGAUGUUGGCAGCUUAGAAUGCAGGAGCCUUAGAUGGGUGGCCUGGAAGGGAGGCCAGCAGGGAGAGGUGACCUGGAAGUGAGGAAGCUCAGGAGGGACUGAUGGUAAUUGGAGGGGCAGGCAGAGAGAGGCAGAUGAAGAAACAGCCGAGGCCUGUGUGAAGGCUGGACCCAACCUGCGUCCAAGCAGAAAGUCCAGAGAACUUAGCACAGCUUCCAAAGCUUCAGAGUACAUCAGAACUACUUGGGAAGUGCGUCAAACUCUGGUUCCUAGGGAAAUCCUCAGAGAUCCUGCAUCUGCGAUGAGGCCCAGAAGUGGUUUUUGUGACCAGUUCCAAGGCGACUUCAUACAGGCAGUCCUUGGGGACACUGGUGACAGGAUUUCCCUCUCUGGACCUUGGUGUCCUGCUCUGUAAAUAAAGGGGUUUGUCAAAGACGGUUUCUGCUUUCUCUGUCAGCUCCAACAUACAGCUUCUCAAAAGCUUCCAAAAAUCCCCUUACCCAAGCUUGCAGCCCUCAUCACCUGUCUCAAG
This 7980-nucleotide long non-coding RNA is filed under the name Homo sapiens (human). RNAcentral's name for it is "HSALNT0066560". The record is from RNAcentral. Lineage: Eukaryota; Metazoa; Chordata; Mammalia; Primates; Hominidae.